RNAcentral lists this long non-coding RNA (461 nucleotides) under Musa acuminata (dwarf banana). Its description in RNAcentral is "long non-coding RNA (MACU_LNC007465)". The record is from RNAcentral. Lineage: Eukaryota; Viridiplantae; Streptophyta; Magnoliopsida; Zingiberales; Musaceae.
CGCUAACAUGGGCAAGAAGUAACGUACUAUUAUAACAUAACAAGUAAGGACGGACAAGAAGUAACGUACUAUUAUAACAUAACAAGUAAGGACGUAUUUCUUUGGGUUCAGCUACAACAAAUACUUUCUCGGAAACUUUCCUUUUGCAGCUGUAGACUCAAUUCCCAUCUUUUACUGGUUUCGUUCCUGCCCUCUUCUUGCCUCAUUUGAAUACUUUCAAGCUCGGUUCCGUUCCUUAUGUGGGAACUUUUCUUAUCUCCAAUUCUUCCCCUUACACGAAAUAUGCUUUAAGCUCUUCCCUUAACCAUCUUCUGUUUCUGACUCUUCAUCUUGCUUGCUCUCUUCUGGGAUCCCCUUUCUUUCAUUGAGGUUUCCUAUCUUUGUUGUCUUAGGUUAGUUAUCUCUGCUCGAAAGGAGGUUACUGCCCGAGCCGAGUGAUACAGUUCCUUCUUCUGUGUAGG